This 597-nucleotide ribosomal RNA is filed under the name Mucor hiemalis. Its description in RNAcentral is "eukaryotic LSU rRNA". The stretch from base 214 to 366 matches the Rfam family "5.8S ribosomal RNA". Lineage: Eukaryota; Fungi; Mucoromycota; Mucoromycetes; Mucorales; Mucoraceae. The record is from RNAcentral.
GGCCUUUGCUAGUUUUCUAGCGAAUGGUUCAUUCUUUUUUACUGUGAACUGUUUUAAUUUUUCAGCGUCUGAGGAAUGUCUUUUAGCCAUAGGGAUAGGCUACUAGAAUGUUAACCGAGCUGAAAGUCAGGCUUAGGCCUGGUAUCCUAUUAAUUAUUUACCAAAAGAAUUCAGUAUUAUAAUUGUAACAUAAGCGUAAAAAACUUAUAAAACAACUUUUAACAACGGAUCUCUUGGUUCUCGCAUCGAUGAAGAACGUAGCAAAGUGCGAUAACUAGUGUGAAUUGCAUAUUCAGUGAAUCAUCGAGUCUUUGAACGCAACUUGCGCUCAAUGGUAUUCCAUUGAGCACGCCUGUUUCAGUAUCAAAAACACCCCACAUUCAUAAUUUUGUUGUGAAUGGAAUUGAGAGUUUCGGCUUUAUUGCUGAAUUCUUUAAAAUUAUUAGGCCUGAACUAUUGUUCUUUCUGCCUGAACAUUUUUUUAAUAUAAAGGAAUGCUCUAGUAAAAAGACUAUCUCUGGGGCCUCCCAAAUAAAUCAUUCUUAAAUUUGAUCUGAAAUCAGGCGGGAUUACCCGCUGAACUUAAGCAUAUCAAUA